GGAAGGGGUGUAUUUAUUAGAUAAAAAACCAACGCCCUUCGGGGCUCCUUGGUGAAUCAUAAUAACUUAACGAAUCGCAUGGCCUUGCGCCGGCGAUGGUUCAUUCAAAUUUCUGCCCUAUCAACUUUCGAUGGUAGGAUAGUGGCCUACCAUGGUGGCAACGGGUAACGGGGAAUUAGGGUUCGAUUCCGGAGAGGGAGCCUGAGAAACGGCUACCACAUCCAAGGAAGGCAGCAGGCGCGCAAAUUACCCAAUCCCGAUACGGGGAGGUAGUGACAAUAAAUACUGAUACGGGGCUCUUUUGGGUCUCGUAAUUGGAAUGAGAACAAUUUAAAUCCCUUAACGAGGAACAAUUGGAGGGCAAGUCUGGUGCCAGCAGCCGCGGUAAUUCCAGCUCCAAUAGCGUAUAUUAAAGUUGUUGCAGUUAAAAAGCUCGUAGUUGAACCUUGGGUCUGGCUGGCCGGUCCGCCUCACCGCGAGUACUGGUCCGGCUGGACCUUUCCUUCUGGGGAACCUCAUGGCCUUCACUGGCUGCGGGGGGAACCAGGACUUUUAC
Molecule: ribosomal RNA, 556 nt
Filed under: uncultured fungus
Lineage: Eukaryota; Fungi
Description: SSU rRNA
Rfam family: Eukaryotic small subunit ribosomal RNA
Source: RNAcentral